This 253-nucleotide ribosomal RNA is filed under the name uncultured bacterium. Its description in RNAcentral is "partial 16S ribosomal RNA". It matches the Rfam family "Bacterial small subunit ribosomal RNA", at positions 524 to 776 of the family's 1533-position model. The record is from RNAcentral.
UACGGAGGGUGCAAGCGUUGUCCGGAUUUAUUGGGUUUAAAGGGUGCGUAGGUGGUUUUUUAAGUCAGUGGUGAAAGCCUACAGCUCAACUGUAGAGGUGCCAUUGAAACUGAAGAACUUGAGUAUGGACGAGGUAGGCGGAAUUUGUGGUGUAGCGGUGAAAUGCAUAGAUACCACAAAGAACACCAAUAGCGAAGGCAGCUUACUGGACCAUAACUGACACUGAGGCACGAAAGCGUGGGUAGCGAACAGG